UACAGAGGUCCCAAGCGUUGUUCGGAUUCACUGGGCGUAAAGGGUGCGUAGGUGGCCAGGUAAGUUCGGUGUGAAAGCUCGGAGCUUAACUCCGAAAUGUCAUUGAAUACUAUCUGGCUGGAGGGUCGGAGGGGAGACUGGAAUUCUCGGUGUAGCAGUGAAAUGCGUAGAUAUCGGAGAGGAACACCAGUGGCGAAGGCGAGUCUCUGGACGACUCCUGACACUGAGGCACGGAAAGCCAGGGGAGCAGACAGGAUUAGAAAACCCU
RNAcentral lists this ribosomal RNA (268 nucleotides) under uncultured bacterium. Its description in RNAcentral is "partial 16S ribosomal RNA". It matches the Rfam family "Bacterial small subunit ribosomal RNA", at positions 524 to 788 of the family's 1533-position model. The record is from RNAcentral.